UAAGAAAUGGGGGAGUAUACAGGCGG
RNAcentral lists this non-coding RNA (26 nucleotides) under Rattus norvegicus (Norway rat). Lineage: Eukaryota; Metazoa; Chordata; Mammalia; Rodentia; Muridae. The record is from RNAcentral.